AUUUGGUUAAGUUAGAAAGGGCGCACGGUGGAUGCCUUGACACUAGGAGUCGAUGAAGGACGGGACUAACGCCGAUAUGCUUCGGGGAGCUGUAAGUAAGCUUUGAUCCGAAGAUUUCCGA
Molecule: ribosomal RNA, 121 nt
Filed under: Bacillus anthracis (anthrax bacterium)
Lineage: Bacteria; Bacillati; Bacillota; Bacilli; Caryophanales; Bacillaceae
Description: partial 23S ribosomal RNA
Rfam family: Bacterial large subunit ribosomal RNA
Source: RNAcentral